GGCGAACGGGUGAGUAAUAUAGUCGAACGUGCCCAGUCGUGGGGGAUAACGUAGCGAAAGUUACGCUAAUACCGCAUACGAUCUAAGGAUGAAAGCGGGGGAUCGCAAGACCUCGCGCGAUUGGAGCGGCCGAUAUCAGAUUAGGUAGUUGGUGAGGUAAAGGCUCACCAAGCCAACGAUCUGUAGCUGGUCUGAGAGGACGACCAGCCACACUGGAACUGAGACACGGUCCAGACUCCUACGGGAGGCAGCAGUGGGGAAUUUUGGACAAUGGACGCAAGUCUGAUCCAGCCAUUCCGCGUGCAGGAUGAAGGCCCUCGGGUUGUAAACUGCUUUUGUACGGAACGAAACGGUGAGCUCUAAUACAGUUUGCUAAUGACGGUACCGUAAGAAUAAGCACCGGCUAACUACGUG
RNAcentral lists this ribosomal RNA (414 nucleotides) under uncultured bacterium. RNAcentral describes it as "bacterial SSU rRNA". It matches the Rfam family "Bacterial small subunit ribosomal RNA", at positions 97 to 507 of the family's 1533-position model. The record is from RNAcentral.